This 560-nucleotide ribosomal RNA is filed under the name Neoprotoparmelia orientalis. RNAcentral describes it as "eukaryotic LSU rRNA". It matches the Rfam family "Eukaryotic large subunit ribosomal RNA", at positions 295 to 875 of the family's 3401-position model. Lineage: Eukaryota; Fungi; Ascomycota; Lecanoromycetes; Lecanorales; Parmeliaceae. The record is from RNAcentral.
GGUGGUAAAUUUCAUCUAAAGCUAAAUACCGGCUGGAGACCGAUAGCGCACAAGUAGAGUGAUCGAAAGAUGAAAAGCACUUUGGAAAGAGAGUUAAAAAGCACGUGAAAUUGUUGAAAGGGAAGCGCUUGCGACCAGACCUGCCCGGGGGCGAUCAGCCGCCGUUCUCGGCGGUGCACUCGCCCGCGAUCAGGCCAGCAUCGGUUUGGGCGGCCGGACAAAGGCCGUGGGAAUGUAGCUCCCUUCGGGGAGUCUUAUGGCCCGCGGCGCAAUGCGACCAGCCCGGAUCGAGGACCGCGCUUCGGCUAGGAUGCUGGCGUAAUGGUUGCAAGCGACCCGUCUUGAAACACGGACCAAGGAGUCUAACAUCUAUGCGAGUGUUUGGGUGUCAAACCCAUGCGCGUAAUGAAAGUGAACGGAGGUGAGAACCCGUCAGGGCGCAUCAUCGACCGAUCCUGAUGUCUUCGGAUGGAUUUGAGUACGAGCAUAGCUGUUGGGACCCGAAAGAUGGUGAACUAUGCCUGAAUAGGGUGAAGCCAGAGGAAACUCUGGUGGAGGCU